This 460-nucleotide ribosomal RNA is filed under the name uncultured bacterium. RNAcentral describes it as "partial 16S ribosomal RNA". It matches the Rfam family "Bacterial small subunit ribosomal RNA", at positions 338 to 795 of the family's 1533-position model. The record is from RNAcentral.
CCUACGGGAGGCAGCAGUGAGGAAUAUUGGUCAAUGGGCGCGAGCCUGAACCAGCCAAGUAGCGUGAAGGAUGACUGCCCUACGGGUUGUAAACUUCUUUUAUAAAGGAAUAAAGUGCGGGACGUGUCCCGUUUUGUAUGUACCUUAUGAAUAAGGAUCGGCUAACUCCGUGCCAGCAGCCGCGGUAAUACGGAGGAUCCGAGCGUUAUCCGGAUUUAUUGGGUUUAAGGGGUGCGUAGGCGGCCUUUUAAGUCAGCGGUGAAAGUCUGUGGCUCAACCAUAGAAUUGCCGUUGAAACUGGGAGGCUUGAGUAUGUUUGAGGCAGGCGGAAUGCGUGGUGUAGCGGUGAAAUGCUUAGAUAUCACGCAGAACCCCGAUUGCGAAGGCAGCCUGCCAAGCCAUGACUGACGCUGAUGCACGAAAGCGUGGGGAUCAAACAGGAUUAGAUACCCGGGUAGUC